RNAcentral lists this long non-coding RNA (831 nucleotides) under Dasypus novemcinctus (nine-banded armadillo). RNAcentral's name for it is "lncRNA (ENSDNOG00000052645.1)". The record is from RNAcentral. Lineage: Eukaryota; Metazoa; Chordata; Mammalia; Cingulata; Dasypodidae.
GCCUGUUGCUUUCUCACAGAUCUGUCUGUUACUUUAACAUUGCUGCAUUCCAAAACUCUGUUACAUCCCUUGGAGUUGAGUUUUUCAUGCCUGCCCUUCAGGCAUUCCUUCUACCCACCUUGGUCCUCCAUGUGUUAUCUCACCAUAGAACAAGGAUGGUUUAAUGCAAAUGAUGUGUUUCAGGACUUAAUUGGUUCUGGUUACUUGAAUUUAAUGCAGAUGAUACUCCUGAUACUCUUUAUCUGCCAUGUCCAGAUCUGAAAGCCUAGUGGAAAGUCACUAUGUAGACUUUCAAUUUGGUAACAUUUAUUGCUGCACUAACUCCAUGCUGUCUUUUAAAAAGAUGAUUUGGACUUUUUUUUUUUUUAAUAGGUACCAGGGAUUGAACCUGAGACCUCCUACAUGGGAAGUAAUGUGCUCAACCACAGCACUACAUUCACUCCCCCAAUAUGGACAUCUUGAUCUGGUUUUCAGUCUCCCUAAUAAUCAGGACAUUAUUGGCGAUGAUCCAACCAGAUCUUGAGGUUUCAGAGUAAUCAUGCUUCUCACCUGGUGCCUGCCUUCCAAGAGACGGGGAGAAAAAGCUGCCAUGUCAGUUAAGGGUCAUGUCUGGAACUGGAACAUCAUCAUUUUUGCUGAAUUAUAUUAUGCAGACAUACCACAGGAUUUAUCGAGAUUCAAGGGAGUAGAGAAAUGGACUACUUCAUGAUAGGGGAGCAGCAAGGUCAUAUUGCAAAAGAGUAUGUGGAAUGGGAAAUAUUGUUGUGACCAUCAUUGUAAAAUGUGAUCUGCUGCAAUGGCAAAAUAAAAAAUCAAAUUCAGACUCAACUA